This 72-nucleotide transfer RNA is filed under the name Camelus bactrianus (Bactrian camel). It matches the Rfam family "tRNA". From Rfam's summary of the family: Transfer RNA (tRNA) molecules are approximately 80 nucleotides in length. Their secondary structure includes four short double-helical elements and three loops (D, anti-codon, and T loops). RNAcentral also lists the same sequence under 2 other names. The record is from Rfam by way of RNAcentral. Lineage: Eukaryota; Metazoa; Chordata; Mammalia; Artiodactyla; Camelidae.
GUGGGUAUAGCUUAGUGGUAGAGCACAUGCUUAGCAUGGACGAGGCCCUGGGUUCAAUCCUCAGUACCUCCA